CUACGCNUGCAGUCGAGGGGCAGCGGGGAAAAGCUUGCUUUUCCGCCGGCGACCGGCGCACGGGUGCGCACCGCGUAUGGAACCUGCCUUGUACAGGGGAAUAGCCCAGGGAAACUUGGAUUAAUGCCCCGUAGUACCGUAUUUCGGCAUCGUUAUACGGUUAAAGCCUUCGGGCGGUACAAGAUGGCCAUGCGUCCCAUUAGCUGGAUGGUAAGGUAACGGCUUACCAUGGCUACGAUGGGUAGGGGCCCUGAGAGGGGGAUCCCCCACACUGGUACUGAGACACGGACCAGACUCCUACGGGAGGCAGCAGUGAGGAAUAUUGGACAAUGGAGGGGACUCUGAUCCAGCCAUGCCGCGUGCAGGAAGAAUGCCCUAUGGGUAGUAAACUGCUUUUAUACGGGAAGAAAAAGAGCUACGUGUAGCUUACUGACGGUACCGUAAGAAUAAGGACCGGCUAACUCCGUGCCAGCAGCCGCGGUAAUACGGAGGGUCCGAGCGUUAUCCGGAAUUAUUGGGUUUAAAGGGUCCGUAGGCGGGCCGAUAAGUCAGGGGUGAAAGUCUGCCGCUCAACGGUAGAACUGCCUUUGAUACUGUCGGUCUUGAGUUAUAGUGAAGUUGCCGGAAUAUGUAGUGUAGCGGUGAAAUGCAUAGAUAUUACAUAGAACACCGAUUGCGAAGGCAGGUGACUAACUAUAUACUGACGCUGAUGGACGAAAGCGUGGGGAGCGAACAGGAUUAGAUACCCUGGUAGUCCACGCCGUAAACGAUGGAUACUAGCUGUCCGGAACCUUGAGUUCUGGGCGGCCAAGCGAAAGUGAUAAGUAUCCCACCUGGGGGAGUACGUUCGCAAGAAUGAAACUCAAAGGAAUUGACGGGGGCCCGCACAAGCGGUGGAGCAUGUGGUUUAAUUCGAUGAUACGCGAGGAACCUUACCAGGGCUUAAAUGCAUAUUGACAGGGUCAGAGAUGACUUUUCCUUCGGGCAAUUUGCAAGNGCUGCAUGGUUGUCGUCAGCUCGUGCCGUGAGGUGUCAGGUUANUCCUAUAACGAGCGCAACCCCUACCGUUAGUUGCCAGCAUGUCAUGAUGGGG
This 1093-nucleotide ribosomal RNA is filed under the name Maribacter sp. Ss71. RNAcentral describes it as "bacterial SSU rRNA". It matches the Rfam family "Bacterial small subunit ribosomal RNA", at positions 49 to 1136 of the family's 1533-position model. Lineage: Bacteria; Pseudomonadati; Bacteroidota; Flavobacteriia; Flavobacteriales; Flavobacteriaceae. The record is from RNAcentral.